RNAcentral lists this ribosomal RNA (253 nucleotides) under uncultured bacterium. Its description in RNAcentral is "partial 16S ribosomal RNA". It matches the Rfam family "Bacterial small subunit ribosomal RNA", at positions 524 to 776 of the family's 1533-position model. The record is from RNAcentral.
UACAGAGGUCCCAAGCGUUGUUCGGAUUCACUGGGCGUAAAGGGUGCGUAGGUGGCCAGGUAAGUUCGGUGUGAAAGCUCGGAGCUCAACUCCGAAAUGUCAUUGAAUACUAUCUGGCUGGAGGGUCGGAGGGGAGACUGGAAUUCUCGGUGUAGCAGUGAAAUGCGUAGAUAUCGAGAGGAACACCAGUGGCGAAGGCGAGUCUCUGGACGACUCCUGACACUGAGGCACGAAAGCUAGGGGAGCGAAUGGG